UACUAUAGGAUAUAUGGGUCGAAAAUUCAGUGGGCCGUCUCCUAAAUAUAAAAAAUGAAAAAAUGGGAACUGGUUGAUGGAUAUGGAUGAAACUUUGCAUCAGUGUUGUGUUUUUGAAUAGAAGUCAGGAAAAUAAAGGAUAACUGACAGACUGUGCAGUUACCAAAGCCUAGGUUUGAGUACAGGACCUUACCUUAUCCUGGUAAAGAUCUAUGAAAGGACUCCUUCAGCUCAGUUUGGCAGCAGCUUUGUCAGGACACAUUGAGAAGGAUUUCAUUUCUGGGUGGAAGGUUUCAGGAGGCACUAUGCACAAGAAUACACACCAGUUACUAUUUGGAAUAAUCUAUAGUGAUUACAGAAAUUAAAAGCUGCAGAAAAACUCCAAGGGCUAAUGUAUUAUUUUUUGGUGCUAAAUUUACUUGGACUGCAUUGGUGUUUAAAGAAAUGGUCAUGAAGUUUCGGUACCGGAUUUGCUUUGUCAAGAAUUUAGCCUUAAAUGUGAUGGAUUUACUAUAGGAUAUAUGGGUCGAAAAUUCAGUGGGCCGUCUCC
This is a long non-coding RNA of Ruditapes philippinarum (Manila clam), 550 nucleotides long. RefSeq lists it as uncharacterized. Lineage: Eukaryota; Metazoa; Mollusca; Bivalvia; Venerida; Veneridae. The record is from RefSeq and is a predicted model, not a curated record. The transcript is spliced from 3 exons.